AACGAACGCUGGCGGCGUGGAUUAGGCAUGCAAGUCGAGGGGUAGAAGGAGCUUGCUCCUUUGAGACCGGCGCACGGGUGCGUAACGCGUAUGCAAUCUACCUUGUACAGGGGAAUAGCCCAGAGAAAUUUGGAUUAAUGCCCCAUAGUAUAUAACCUUCGCAUGUUGGUUAUAUUAAAGUUCCAACGGUACAAGAUGAGCAUGCGUCCCAUUAGUUAGUUGGUAAGGUAACGGCUUACCAAGACGAUGAUGGGUAGGGGUCCUGAGAGGGAGAUCCCCCACACUGGUACUGAGACACGGACCAGACUCCUACGGGAGGCAGCAGUGAGGAAUAUUGGUCAAUGGUCGCAAGACUGAACCAGCCAUGCCGCGUGCAGGAAGACGGUCCUAUGGAUUGUAAACUGCUUUUAUACAGGAAGAACCCUCCCACGUGUGGGAGCUUGACGGUACUGUAGGAAUAAGGAUCGGCUAACUCCGUG
This 479-nucleotide ribosomal RNA is filed under the name uncultured bacterium. RNAcentral describes it as "bacterial SSU rRNA". It matches the Rfam family "Bacterial small subunit ribosomal RNA", at positions 29 to 507 of the family's 1533-position model. The record is from RNAcentral.